This 428-nucleotide long non-coding RNA is filed under the name Homo sapiens (human). RNAcentral describes it as "toll interacting protein (ENSG00000291426.1)". The record is from RNAcentral. Lineage: Eukaryota; Metazoa; Chordata; Mammalia; Primates; Hominidae.
CCCUGAAUAGCCACUAAGGGAUGCUUCAGCCCUGUGCAGUGCUUCCCUCACGUUUCAAAAAGGCCAGUAUUUUGGAAAGAUAACCUUUUUUCAAUAUAGUCUGCAUAUUAUCAGAAAGCAUGGGUGAGUACCUGCAAGGAGUACCAUGUGGACCCCUGCGAGGGGUACCGUGGGGGCCCCUGCGAGGGGUACUGUGUGGACCCCUGUGAGGAGUAUCAUGGGGGCCCCUGCGAGGGGUACCGUGCGGGCCCCCGCGAGGAGUAUCGAGGAGUACCGUGUGGACCCCUGCCUUCUGCAGUGAGAUCUCGGGACGUUUGCGGGAGACUCCGCUGCAGCCACCGCGGUGCCGUCAGAGAGGCCUCCUUGGUAGAGGUGUACAUCGGUGAGCUCCCGCAGGACUUCCUCCGCAUCACGCCCACACAGCAGCA